AUGCAAAAGAAGAAAGAUGUUGACAAUGAUAUUGUUAAAUUAAAGCUCUUUCCUUUUUCGCUUAGAGAUCGUGCUAAAGCUUGGUUUUCGUCUUUGCCUAAAAAUAGUAUUGAUUCUUGGAACAAGUGCAAAGAUGCUUUUAUCUCUAAGUAUUUUCCUCCCGCUAAGAUCAUCUCUCUUAGAAAUGAUAUUAUGAAUUUUAAGCAACUUGAUCAUGAACAUGUUGCACAAGCUUGGGAGAAGAUGAAAUUAAUGAUAUGUAAUUGCCCUACUCAUGGUUUGAAUUUAUGGAUGAUUAUACAAAAAAUUUAUGCCGGAUUGAAUUUUGCUUCUAUAAAUCUUUUAGAUUCGGCCGCGAGAGGCACUUUUAUGGAAAUCACUUUAGGAGAAGCUACUAAACUCCUAGAUAAUAUUAUGGUUAAUUAUUCUCAAUGGCACACUGAAAGAUCUACUAAUAAAAAAGUGCAUGCAAUAGAAGAAAUUAAUGUUUUGAGUGGAAAGAUGGAUGAACUUAUGAAAUUAUUUGCUACUAAGAGUGUUUCUUCUGAUCCUAAUGAUAUGCCUUUUUCUACUUUCAUUGAGAAUAAUAAUGAAUCUAUGGAUGUGAAUUUUGUUGGUAGGAAUAAUUUUGGUAACAACGCGUAUAGAGGAAACUUUAAUCCCAGGCCUUAUCCUAGCAAUUCCUCUAAUAAUUAUGGUAAUUCCUACAACAACUCUUAUGGAAAUUUUAAUAAGAUGCCCUCUGAAUUUGAAACUAGUGUUAAAGAGUUUAUGAAUUCGCAAAAUAAUUUCAAUGCUAUGCUUGAAGAGAAAUUGCUUAAAGUUGAUGAAUUGGCUAGGAACGUUGAUAGAAUUUAUCUUGAUGUUGAUUCUUUAAAGCUUAGAUCUAUUCCUCCUAAGCAUGAUAUCAAUGAGUCUCUCAAAGCCAUGAGAAUUUCCAUUGAUGAGUGCAAAGAAAGAACCGCUAGAAUGCGUGCUAAGAAAGAUUGCUUUAUGAAAACGUGUUUUUCAAAUUUCUAUGAAAAUAAAGAUGAAGAUCUAAAAGUUAUUGAUGUGUCCCCUAUUAAAUCUUUGUUUUGCAAUAUGAAUCUUGAUAAUGAUGGGACUGAAUAUGAUCCACCUUUACCUAGAAGGCGUUCAAAAAAUUCGGAGUUUUUAGAGCUUGAUGCUAAAAUUGACAAAAGUGGGAUUGAAGAAAUCAAAACCCUAGAUCUUAAACCCACUAUUUUGGAUUUCAAGGAAUUUAAUUAUGAAAAUUGCUCUUUGAUAGAUUGUAUUUCCUUGUGGCAAUCCGUGCUAAAUUCUCCUCAUGCUUAUAGUCAAAAUAAAGCGUUUACUAAACAUAUCGUUGAUGCCUUGAUGCAAUCUUAUGAAGAAAAGCUUGAGUUGGAAGUUUCUAUUCCUAGAAAACUUUAUGAUGAGUGGGAACCUACUAUUAAAAUUAAGAUUAAGGAUCAUGAGUUCUAUGCUUUAUGUGAUUUGGGUGCUAGUGUUUCCACUAUUCCCAAAACUUUGUGCGAUUUGCUAGAUUUCCGUGAUUUUGAUGAUUGCUCUCUAAACUUGCACCUUUCGGAUUCCACUAUUAAGAAACCUAUGGGAAGAAUUAAUGAUGUUCUUAUUGUUGCAAAUAGGAAUUAUGUGCCCGUAGAUUUUAUCGUUCUUGAUAUAGAUUGCAAUCCUUCAUGUCCUAUUAUUCUUGGUAGACCUUUCCUUAGAACGAUUGGUGCAAUUAUUGAUAUGAAGGAAGGGAAUAUUAGAUUCCAAUUUCCAUUAAAGAAAGGCAUGGAACACUUUCCUAGGAAGAAAAUAAAAUUACCAUAUGAAUCUAUCAUGAGAUCCACUUAUGGAUUGCCUACCAAAGAUGGCAAUACCUAA
RNAcentral lists this ribosomal RNA (1875 nucleotides) under Triticum aestivum (bread wheat). RNAcentral describes it as "partial small subunit ribosomal RNA". Lineage: Eukaryota; Viridiplantae; Streptophyta; Magnoliopsida; Poales; Poaceae. The record is from RNAcentral.